This 476-nucleotide ribosomal RNA is filed under the name Bacillus pumilus. RNAcentral describes it as "bacterial SSU rRNA". It matches the Rfam family "Bacterial small subunit ribosomal RNA", at positions 56 to 515 of the family's 1533-position model. The record is from RNAcentral. Lineage: Bacteria; Bacillati; Bacillota; Bacilli; Caryophanales; Bacillaceae.
UGCAAGUCGAGCGGACAGAAGGGAGCUUGCUCCCGGAUGUUAGCGGCGGACGGGUGAGUAACACGUGGGUAACCUGCCUGUAAGACUGGGAUAACUCCGGGAAACCGGAGCUAAUACCGGAUAGUUCCUUGAACCGCAUGGUUCAAGGAUGAAAGACGGUUUCGGCUGUCACUUACAGAUGGACCCGCGGCGCAUUAGCUAGUUGGUGGGGUAAUGGCUCACCAAGGCGACGAUGCGUAGCCGACCUGAGAGGGUGAUCGGCCACACUGGGACUGAGACACGGCCCAGACUCCUACGGGAGGCAGCAGUAGGGAAUCUUCCGCAAUGGACGAAAGUCUGACGGAGCAACGCCGCGUGAGUGAUGAAGGUUUUCGGAUCGUAAAGCUCUGUUGUUAGGGAAGAACAAGUGCGAGAGUAACUGCUCGCACCUUGACGGUACCUAACCAGAAAGCCACGGCUAACUACGUGCCAGCAGC